Molecule: non-coding RNA, 23 nt
Filed under: Cricetulus griseus (Chinese hamster)
Lineage: Eukaryota; Metazoa; Chordata; Mammalia; Rodentia; Cricetidae
Source: RNAcentral
CGGACUUGGACUCUGGGGAGGAG